GGGGUUAUAGUUCAGCUGGCUAGAACGUCUCGCUGGCAGCGAGAAGGUCAGGGGUUCGAGUCCCCUUAACUCCA
RNAcentral lists this transfer RNA (74 nucleotides) under Candidatus Dojkabacteria bacterium. Its description in RNAcentral is "tRNA-Ala". It matches the Rfam family "tRNA". Rfam says of the family: Transfer RNA (tRNA) molecules are approximately 80 nucleotides in length. The record is from RNAcentral.